AUUUAAAACACAAAAUUAGGUCAUUUAGCGUUUGAAAAAUAAGCAAACAAACUGCAUUGGUUUUAACUUUUAUUAUAGACUAGACAAAGAUUAAGAAUCGGAUUCUUUUCUUUUUAAUUUGGAGCUGUAAAACUUGAGUUAGAUUUUGUUUGGUUUUGUAAAUCAAACAACGAGUAUUGCAUAUUUUAAUAAAUAUAUCUUAAUUUUUGAGUUAAUAAGUGCAACAUAUCUUCUGCAAAAUAAGAAAAUAUAGGCUUAAAAAUGUUUUGAAACGAAAAUAUUGAAUUUGAAAUAUGAAUCAUAAAUGGAAACUAAAUUGGAGCAUAGGUCCUUUUUUGCAAUUUGCAAAAAAACAAAUUUCAAAAAGAAAAUUCAAAAAAGUUAUUUAUUUUUUUUCUUUUCAAAAAUUUCCAUAUAUUCGUCCUACCCACGAUUCUGUCUUUCCUAUAUAAACCUCUGAAUCCACGCAGAAGAACACACCUAGGGAUUUGAGUUUCGUUUGAAGGAAAACCGAAUUCAAAGAGGCUAUUAUUUGUCGUUGAAUUUGAAUUCGGUCGAGUUUUGAAGAUGGAAACCUUGAGAAUGUUGUAUGUAAUGUCAGUUUUUGCUCUUGUAAUGUCGCUGCUUCUUCCAUCCAUGAAUGCUCAAGCACCUGCUCCAGCUCCGGCUCCUUCCAGCGAUGGAGCAGCGAUUGACCAAGGGGUAGCGUAUGUGUUGAUGGUGGUUGCUUUGGCUUUAACUUAUUUCAUUCACUAGAUUUUGAUUUUGGUGUUUUUUUUUCUGCCAAUUUCUUCUCAACUGAAUUUUCUUUUCUUUUAUUUAUCAUCUGGUUUAACAAUUUUUUGGGUUUGUUUUGACAUUUUAAUUCAAACCCAAUUCUUUGGUGAUGUAAAGAUUCUUUUUUUGAUAUUAUGAUGUUUAGUGUAAUUGGCUGCAAAUGUUCCUGUUCCGAA
This is a non-coding RNA of Lactuca sativa (garden lettuce), 953 nucleotides long. NCBI's taxonomy places the organism in Eukaryota, Viridiplantae, Streptophyta, Magnoliopsida, Asterales, Asteraceae. The record is from RefSeq and is a predicted model, not a curated record.